AAUGAACGCUGGCGGCAGGCCUAACACAUGCAAGUCGAACGGAUCCUUCGGGAUUAGUGGCGGACGGGUGAGUAACGCGUGGGAACAUACCCUUUGGUACGGAAUAGCCUCGGGAAACUGGGAGUAAUACCGUAUGUGGUCGAGAGACGAGAGAUUUAUCGCCAAAGGAUUGGCCCGCGUUGGGUUAGGUAGUUGGUGGGGUAAUGGCCUACCAAGCCGACGAUCCAUAGCUGGUUUGAGAGGAUGAUCAGCCACACUGGGACUGAGACACGGCCCAGACUCGUACGGAAGGCAGCGGUGGGGAGUCUUAGACAAUGGGGGAAACCCUGAUCUAGCCAUGCCGCGUGAUAGAUGAAGGCCUUAGGGUUGUAAAGAUCUUUCAGGUGGGAAGAUAAUGACUGUACCACCAGAAGAAGCCCCGGCUAACUCCGUGCCAGCCGCCGCAGUAA
This 449-nucleotide ribosomal RNA is filed under the name uncultured bacterium. RNAcentral's name for it is "partial 16S ribosomal RNA". It matches the Rfam family "Bacterial small subunit ribosomal RNA", at positions 29 to 523 of the family's 1533-position model. The record is from RNAcentral.